Odocoileus virginianus texanus is the source of this 7907-nucleotide non-coding RNA. Lineage: Eukaryota; Metazoa; Chordata; Mammalia; Artiodactyla; Cervidae. The record is from RefSeq and is a predicted model, not a curated record.
GUUUCUUUCCACUCACCAGAUGUUCCCAACACUUUGCUUCCCACUACUAUCAUCCCCUCCCUUACCACUGCAACAGUCACAACCACUGUAACCAUAACAACCUGCCCAACCACAUCCGCAACAACCAGCAACAUCAGAGAUCCCAAUGCUCUGGCUGGCCAGACUGGCCCUGAUCAUGCUCUAAUAGGAGGAAUUGUGGCUGUAGUUGUAUUUGUCACUCUAUGUUCUAUAUUUUUGCUUGGACGAUAUCUGGCAAGACAUAAAGGAACAUAUUUAACAAAUGAAGCUAAAGGAGCGGAAGAUGCCCCAGAUGCUGACACAGCCAUUAUCAAUGCUGAGGGCAGCCAAGUCAAUGCUGAAGAAAAAAAAGAAUAUUUCAUUUAAAAUGCAGGCCAAGAUUCUGAAUUUUAUGUACCAGGCUGGCUGCUGGAGAAAACUGGCUAUCAUCUUUCAGAAUUCAUUUCUACCAUCUUCUGCUACCUUUAUUAACUUCCAUAUUGUACUGCUGUCUGUAGCCAGUGUAUGCCAACAAUCAGCUGUCGAAAGCAUCAUUCUUUAAUUACUGUACCAUCCAUAAUGCAGGACAUUUAUUACCGCCUAAAUUCCACACCAUGCUCUUUUAACAUACAGUGCUUGAAUAUACAGCCUUAACAAUGUUAAUCAUCUCCUUGGAUCAUGAUAUUGAAUUGUUUUUGUACAUUGAAAAAAAAAAAGUAUGCGGAGCUUCCCCCACCCCCUCAUUUUUGGCUCCCUUUAAAUCAAAGUUCUUGUAAACCUACCACUGGACAGCUUUCACAAGGAACAGGAUUAGGUAAAGACAUAACAUGCUUAAGUUCAAUUCAGAUGUGAGAGGUUUAUGAUGUUUUCUACAUGUCUAUCUUCAAAGACAUGUUUUGGAAGCAUAUGCCCUAAAAAACACAAACUGAAAUAAACUACUGUAGAAUAGAUUCUGGAAUAUUUGAGAUUAUACUGAUAAAGCUGUAUCAAUUUGCUAUUUAAAAAUAUAGUAUUUGAUACAGGAGCCAUGAAUAUGGAUUACAGUCAUGACAUGCUGUCUUAUAUAAUUAUAUAGAUCCUACCAUUUAGCUUCAUCUACCAAUAAAUUGUUACAAAUAUUUUACCAUUUUGGGAAUCACAAAGACUUCAUUCAUUUCUCUAAUUUGAUUCUGUAAUUUAUUUGCUCCAUAAAGACUCACCUGCCUAAACAAAAUUGAAAUAUCCAUAGGGCACAAUUUUGAAACAUUUUAGUAUCUGUAUAUAGUGCAUAUAAUAAAUCCAAUUAAACAUUAUUUGAUACAUAUUUAACUUUUUUGGCUGUAGGUAAUCAGUCAUGAGUAAGCAUUUUCUAAUGUCCAUUAUAUCCCUUUAGAUAUUACUUAAACCAAUAUUAUAAGUAGAUAACAUGUAUUAGUAUUUUUGUCUGUAUGUCCUAGCACUGUUCAACAACAAAUUUUUCUAGUUCUUGUUAAUUUUUGUUAUACAAUGGAAGCACAAUGUUAUAAGGAAAGGUAAUUUUAAGCUAACAACCAGUGCACAGCCUCAGGUUUUAAAUUACAACCACAGUUGAAUAAUAAUCUAAAAUAAACUCUUAGUUUGCUAAAAAUUUACAAAUUUUAAUUUGGCAGUUCCAGAGCUGCUUACCUAUGUUGGUUUGCCAAAAAGAAGUGUUUGAGAUAUGUUUUCUGUAUAAAUGAACUAAUUCUUUAUAUUAAAUUCCUGUCUAUGCAUUUUGUGAGGUAUAAACAUAUGAAACAGUGAGUGAUAGAGAAUUUCUGCCAUAAUUUUAACUCCAAGGUGAAAGUCUCUUUCUCUGGAUUAUUUCUGAAAUUUUGAUGUAUUUAACCAUUAAGAAAUGCUGUAUUCUUAAAUAUGACACAGAGUCAAUCUGAAGUCAUAUUAUUUCUCCUAGUAAAAGACAAUAAUGCUAGAUUAGUUGUCAUUAGAUCUAUUGAUACUCUAUGCUAAAGAUUAAAAAUCCAGUUAGAUAAAAAUUAUUUUCCCAUUGACAAGAAUUGCACCUUUAGGAAGAAAAAGAAUAUGACAAUAUGGUAGCUAUACUUGUGAUGUCUGAAAGCAUGAUGGCCUAUGGUUUUAAGAAUAAUAUCUUGGAAUUUAUUUUUGGGAAAUGAGAAUGGUUGAGUAUGACAUCAUGUAUUAAUAUCAAAUGAAAGACAAGGGUGCUGUAUCUUAGAUUAUUUAUCAGAAAAGUAUAAAUCUUUUAAGGACAACGUUAGACUUUUAAUUUUUUUGUUUGUUGAAGCAUUUAUCUUGUUGAUUUCUUACAAAAGAAAAAGGACGAUGUCAGUCAAGCAGCACUUUUUCAGAAUAUACAGAACAUAAAUAAUAUGAUGUGGUUGAGUGUUAACAUAAUAAAUCAUAUACAGUAUGACAAUUUUAAGGAAAUAAGUCUGCAUUGAUGUGAUUGCAUGCUUGUUUUUACAGUUCACUCCAUACCAUCUGUGGAAAAAAUGCAAUAAUAUGUUAAUAUAGUAUGGUAGUUUGAGAGAAUCCGGUAGGUGCUACUAGACACAUUGAAACUAGAAUAGGUUUAUAAACUGUUCAUAUCUUUCAAUGCAUAAUCUUUAGAAAGACUCCACAAAGCAAAAUUCAUUCUGUUAGUACAAAAUGGAAAGGUUCUUAUUACAGGAGUAAGUUGUAUAAACUGCAUCAUCAAUUACUAUUUAAAGCCUAAUUUCAGGAUGCAUUUACAAAAUUGCUACUCUCCAUCGAUGCUGUAUUUACAUCCCUCUUCAUUUCAUCUGUAUUCUACUUGGCUCCAACUGCUAAACUGUUGCCUAAAUAACUCAAUCAUUAUUUAUAGCACUAUAAAAUUAGAAAUCCAAAAUUGGUUACAAUUCAAGACUUUUGACUCUUUUAACCCUUGACAGUAAUAUAAAAACUCAUUGGAAGCCUGUAAAAGAAACUAACUGGUGUAUUAUGAUUUGUGAGCUCUAAUCAAAUAUUUUGACAGCUAAAAUAGAUAUGAAUUAGAUAUCAUUUCAGUUACUGAAAGUAAAUAGCAAUGGAGUUAUAUUUUCCUAUCUUAAACAAAUUUAUUUGAUUUCCACCAAUGAAAGAAAUUGUAAAAAUUCUGUUCAUUUCUAUAAAAAUCAGAAAAAAUGAAAUAAAUAUAUAAAUGAACCAUUUCAAUUGCCAUGACUGAAAUGUGCACAUUUUAUGCCCAGAGAGCCAAAUUCGGUCAUUGCUUAGUGGGCACCAUAGCCACAGAACAUAAUGAAAGCAGUGCGCACAGACACACCCCCCAGUAGAAUAUGGAACAUUAUUCUUUACCCAAAGUAGCUAUUCUCUGCCAGCGUACUGUUUACAGUGUAAAUUGUCCUCCAUCAAAAAAGUGUAAACAGCAUUCUUUUUUUUUUUUUUGGUUUCCAUAUUUGAAUGUCCUAGAUAAAACAAUUAUCAAAAUUAGGGAGAAAAGGAAAGUUUGUGAGUGAAAGAGCAAAGAUAGACAGCAUGAACAUAGUCGUGUGUGUGUGUGUGUGUGUGUGUGUGUGUGAGUGUGUAUGAGAGAGAGAAAGAGAUUUCAACUUGUUUUCUUUUACCAGAGAAUCCAAGAAGCAGUUUAAGGAACCUGAUAUUGAAGUUUAAUCUAGAAACUGGAUGAUCUCAUGUUGAUACAAGAUGUUUAAUCUUGCAUUGAAACCCCACAAUUAAAGAAACAAAUAGAGAAAGAAAACUAACUUUCCUAAAUAUGGCAAAGAAGCUAACACCUCAUUUAUUUUUAUUUCUUUGUAAAAAUAUAAAUAUCUCAAUUAAAAGGACAGGCUCACUUGUAAUUAUGUACUCAUGAUUGUAAUGACAUUGAGAUUCCAUAUAGGCCCAUGUACAGCAGCUGUUUGGUGGUGAUGGUUCUUCCAUGUAACAUAGCAGUUAUCGUGUAAUUUAGUGCCACUUAUUGCAAAGUGUUACCAAGGGGAACAUCUAAAAGACUUUUUUGGAUAUAAGGAUAAUUGAAUUAUAAGUAUGAAAUUUCAUGUUCCUUUUUUUAAAUGUGGAGAAACUGCAGAACCUCAUGUCUUACUGCAAAUUCCCCAUCACAUGGCUAAUGACUUAGCGCCCUCUAAAAAUGCCCACUGCAAUCCCCCUUUGCACAUGGUGGUCUGUGAUGAAUAUACAAAACAAAGCAAACAGAACACAACUGGCAACUACAGAAGAGGAAAUAAAACACCUAAUGAGAAAUAGGGAGUAAUGCUUUUUAUUAAGUGGCACAAAAGACACACAAAAACUAUGCAAAUAUAGGUAACUACCGUGUACGUACAUGUAAGUAUCUUGUACUGGCUGUGUAUGGAUGUUGGAAACCCAUGUAAUUAUAAUAUGCAUUUUGAAUAUUGGGAAAGAGGAAAUCUUAGUGUAGAUAAUAGAACUUGUUUUGAAAUAUACACUGGCAAUAUUGAAAUACACUCAGUGCAAUAUCUGCAAUUCUAUUGCUGGAUACUUCAUGCAAAGGGAUUUUAAAGAACUCUUCAACAAGAUCUAAGAGGUUGCUAAUCUUCACCUCCCACGUAUUAAACCAUUAGUUAAAAAUACAACUGACAUAACAACACAUUAAGCUUUUCUUGCUUAAUCAUUAACAUUACACAAUACAAUUAUCUGGCCUAGUUUUUAGUGUUACUGGAGAGAAAGACAUAACCUGAGUUUUCAACUUCGAUUCAGAGCUAAUUGAAUUUGGAGUUCUUAUACUUUCUUUGAAGUGUAUGUAUGUUUUAAUGGGUUGUGGAACUUUUAUUACAAGGACAAAUCUACUCAAAAAACAUAUGUUACCUUUAAUAGUUAGAGUCACUAUAGUUUAAUGGAAAUUUCUUAUGAUAAUUUUAUUCUUCAAUUCAUUUUUCUCUUUCUCUCUCUAUUUCAAUCCAAACAUGCCCUUUGCACUUCACUUAUACCCUUCCAAAGGCAAUGGAUUGAAGGUAGCAAGAUUAUAAAGAGAGCUAAAGGGGACAACAUGUAAAAAUGGGUUCUAAACUCAUCAGCAUUUUUAUGUAUUGAGAUUAUUAAUAUUGAAUGCAAUAUUAUUGGAUAGAGCUGGUAAGUUCUCUGCCAUGCAUACUUACAAUAAUCCUUCUACCUCUCACUUUUAACAUGGGCUAUGAUACUUCGAUAUAAAUAGAAGAAAUAAUUAUUUACAAGAUAUCCCAGGAAGCACUCUUUUGGGACUAUCCUAACAGUCCACUCCCCACCCCCUGGGACAUCUCAAAAGCCAACUUUACUUUUAGUGUAACUCAGUGGUGUAUGGAUCUGCAUUUGUUUUCCUUUUUCUGUCAUUAACUUUUCCUAUAGGCAAACUAUAAUAACUUUAAAAGGAUAGUUCCUCUCAUUCCUAUUUACUAUUUCAAUGUGAUAUAAUUGUGCUGAUUAAAAAAAUUAAAUGGCAACACUUUGCAAUCCAACUUGACAUUUCAUUUACUGUUUAGAAUGAAACAAUUUCUUAUAAAUUAAUACUAUGCUUUUAAGUAAAAAUCAUAUAUGUAUUUUUAUUUUCCCAAGAAGUGUUAUUCUGUAAGAUAAAUAUUUAAGUAUUUAAAUCUGCCUCAUUAUUAACAAAUAAUCCCAGAAUGAGUGCAAAGUAUUGCCACAAAUACCCACUUUAUUUUGCCUGCAUAGAAACAGUAUGAAUUCUUCAAAUCAUAUAAUUUAAUGAUUCUAAAAGGAAAUGGCUUUUAAAAGCAGAUUUUUCUUUAGGAAAAAAAUGAUACAAAAAUUAUCUCAAAGUAUGAUGCUUAAAGUAAGAUUUUUCUAUGUUAUGUGGUUAUGUUAUAGAUAAUAUUUGCUGUAUUUUCUACCAUCAUAUAUAUAUAUAUGUAUGUACAUAUAUAUGUACAUACAUAUAUAUAUAUAUAUAUUUCACAAGAAAUGUAUGGUUAUUUUGGAGAGAAUGGGCCCAAAUGUGAAAACGAUGUAAAGCAAAACCACUAUUUUCCCCUAUGAAUAUACUGUAUAUUUCAAAAGAAGAAACUUAAAAGAUAUUUGAAGAUUGCAGGGGCAAAAGAAAAACCUACCAGGGCUCAGCACUUAAGCACUUUUCCCACAUCCAGGGUCGGAACAGCAGUGAUUCCUUCAUGAACUUUUAAGUGCGGUAUGAAAUGCCACAUUACACUUCUCUUACACACAGUACUGUCAAACCUCAAAUGUUUUCUUUCUUCAGAUACUUUUCCUUGUACAUGAAACUAGUAGACACUUUCUCUUUAUAUUUGCUGAUGGUGAAAGUUAUAUGCAAUAAAAUAUUUGAUGGUUGAAAGUAGUAUUCACCAGUUGGUUAAAAAAACUAUGAAAUGUAAACUGAAUUGUUAUCUCUUUAUCCUUUUUGCUUUUCUCUGUGUUUCUAAUGUAUGGAAUGAGUCUCAUAAAUAGAAAAAUAAGUUAGAAAAUUUUCAAAACUAGUUCUCUUUCUCCUAACAAGUGUAUAAAACUAAUCUCUUGAUGAAUUUAUUUAACUGUACCUACUGUACUUGUUGUAGAUUCAAUGAUGGAGUUAAGUAGUAACCCAAGGGUUUAUGAGUUCGCAAUUACUGACAUGUUUAUUUUCAUAUUCUGUUCACAUCAAUAUUUGUGAAUUGUUUGUUUAGCUUUUCAUUCAACCAAAAAAAUAUUCCCUCAACAAAGCUCCAUUUUUAUCAUAAAUAUUUCAACAUAACUAACAUCAGACAAGUCUGCCAUGUUAAAAAGAAUUUAAAGACUUAUCUCUGAAAAUGGUACCCAGAAACGCGGGUGUUCCCAGUAACGUAGCUUCAAAAAUAAAAUGUUCUAUUUAUGUGACAUGAAAUUCAUAGCUUUUGGAAGGGUAUAUUUAUGACAGCAUAAAAAUAAAUUCUGUGCUGUAAAGAAGAUGCACUGAAAUAAAACAUAUUGCACAGAAGAUAGAGAAACACAAUUAUUGAAUCUACUGUUAUCAUUAACAUUUUCAAAAACCAAAAUGCAUAUUGUAAUAUUAGGUACAUGACACUUGCAUGUUGAUAUGCCUAUAUACUUACAAGUAUUUAAAGUGUACUCAGUGGCGCUUAAAACAUGUCAUGUACUACUUUUAUAAACAUUCUUACAGGGUUCCCAUUUGCACCUCAUCUUUCAGUAAAGUCUUGUCAGAAAAAAACUGUCUAAUACAUAUGGAAAAAUAAAAUUUGAAUUUUAGUUAUCUGUUGGACAUUACUGAAUUGUCUAUUCAUUUAGUUCAUUUUCUUAGGCUUGUUAACAGAAAGGUGGAAAUUUCUUUUCUCCCACUGACAGAUUAUAAAAUAUACCACAAAACAUAUUCCUUUUUGCCAAGACAUUAUUUUGCAUACCUUUUUUCAACUGCAUACGUUAUCCAUUCAUUUUAUACUUCUUCAGUGAUGCCCAUUUUGUUUGUAAGUUUCUAAGUGGAAGUUUUAAAAAGUUAAGCAGUAGUCAAAUAAAUGUUAUAUUAUUUGUACAACAUAUAAUUGUUACUCUUUGGAAUGUGUGAACCUUGUAACAUGCUGACUAAGGGUUAAAAAAAUGUUGCCGACUUAAGGAAAUUUGCUUGAGAUUGCCAAAAUUCCAAUAUUCUGUAAAGAUAAUUUUACAAUCACUUCCAUGUGUUUACUAAUGUUGACUAGGAACAGAAGCAAAAAUACUUACACCCUUUUAAUUUUCACACUCUAACCAGUAUUAUAUAUUUCAACUACCUAAGAUAAUGCAAUUAAUAGCAUAUUCAUCCUAAACUUAUGCCAAUAAGAAUUUGAGAUAAGCUUUUAAAUUUAUGGAAGAUUUUCUUUGUGUCUUUGGAAGUUCACUUACCAUAAGGUAUUUUAUAAUCUACUUUAAAUAACAGAUUUUGUUAUACAGGGUAAGCCAAAGGCUGUACAAGAAUUAGUGUCUGGGUCUGAUAUUUGUGUUAGACCAUGAAAUAUUCCAUUAAAAUUUAUCUGUAAAUACAA